CCGUAAUCGGAAUGAGUACACUUUAAAUCCUUUAACAAGGAUCCAUUGGAGGGCAAGUCUGGUGCCAGCAGCCGCGGUAAUUCCAGCUCCAAUAGCGUAUAUUAAAGUUGUUGCGGUUAAAAAGCUCGUAGUUGGUUCUGCGUGCCGCGCUGUCGGUUCGCCGCCUGUCGGUGUAACUGGCAUGUCGCGGCAUGUCCUGUCGGUGGUGAACGAGACCCCAGGUUCGUAGCAAAGGCUUUGCCUUUGCUGUGUUCUGUGGGUGGWGUCGUUUGCCGAUCUCUCCUACUCCGGUGCUCUUAAACGAGUGUCGAGGUAGGCCGACACGGUCACUUUGAACAAAUUAGAGUGCUUAAAGCAGGCUGAAAUAUCUGCCUGAAUAGUAGUGCAUGGAAUGAUGAAAUAGGACCUCGGUUCUAUUUUGUUGGUUUUAGGAAUAUGAGGUAAUGAUCAAUGUGGACUGGCGGGGGCAUUCGUAUUGCGACGUUAGAGGUGAAAUUCUUGGAUCGUCGCAAGACGCACUAAAGCGAAAGCAUUUGCCAAGUAUGUCUUAAUUGAUCAAGAACGAAAGUUAGAGGUUCGAAGGCGAUCAGAUACCGCCCUAGUUCUAACCAUAAACGAUGCCAGCCAGCGAUCCGCCGAUGUUCCUUUGAUGACUCGGCGGGGAGCUUCUACUCGGGAAACCAAAGCUUUUGGGUUCCGGGGGAAGUAUGGUUGCAAAGCUGAAACUUAAAGGAAUUGACGGAAGGGCACCACCAGGAGUGGAGCCUGCGGCUUAAUUUGACUCAACACGGGAAACC
RNAcentral lists this ribosomal RNA (797 nucleotides) under Emesopsis sp. RNAcentral's name for it is "SSU rRNA". Lineage: Eukaryota; Metazoa; Arthropoda; Insecta; Hemiptera; Reduviidae. The record is from RNAcentral.